Molecule: ribosomal RNA, 492 nt
Filed under: uncultured bacterium
Lineage: Bacteria
Description: partial 16S ribosomal RNA
Rfam family: Bacterial small subunit ribosomal RNA
Source: RNAcentral
AGUGAACGCUGGCGGUAGGCCUAACACAUGCAAGUCGAACGGCAGCACAGUAAGAGCUUGCUCUUACGGGUGGCGAGUGGCGGACGGGUGAGGAAUACAUCGGAAUCUACUUUUUCGUGGGGGAUAACGUAGGGAAACUUACGCUAAUACCGCAUACGACCUACGGGUGAAAGCAGGGGAUCUUCGGACCUUGCGCGAUUGAAUGAGCCGAUGUCGGAUUAGCUAGUUGGCGGGGUAAAGGCCCACCAAGGCGACGAUCCGUAGCUGGUCUGAGAGGAUGAUCAGCCACACUGGAACUGAGACACGGUCCAGACUCCUACGGGAGGCAGCAGUGGGAAAUAUUGGACAAUGGGCGCAAGCCUGAUCCAGCCAUACCGCGUGGGUGAAGAAGGCCUUCGGGUUGUAGAGCCCUUUUGUUGGGAAAGAAAAGCAGCAGGUUAAUACCCCGCUGUUCUGACGGUACCCAAAGAAUAAGCACCGGCUAACUUCGUG